RNAcentral lists this ribosomal RNA (253 nucleotides) under uncultured bacterium. RNAcentral's name for it is "partial 16S ribosomal RNA". It matches the Rfam family "Bacterial small subunit ribosomal RNA", at positions 524 to 776 of the family's 1533-position model. The record is from RNAcentral.
UACGUAGGUGACAAGCGUUGUCCGGAUUUACUGGGCGUAAAGAGCGCGCAGGCGGUCGUUCAAGUCGAGUGUGAAAGCCCCCGGCUCAACUGGGGAGGGUCAUUCGAUACUGAUCGACUCGAAGGCAGGAGAGGGUAGUGGAAUUCCCGGUGUAGUGGUGAAAUGCGUAGAUAUCGGGAGGAACACCAGUGGCGAAGGCAGCCCCCUGGGCCAACACUGACGCUCAGGCACGAAAGCGUGGGGAGCAAACAGG